AACGAACGCUGGCGGCAUGCCUAACACAUGCAAGUCGAACGAGACCUUCGGGUCUAGUGGCGCACGGGUGCGUGACGCGUGGGAACCUGCCCGUGGGUUCGGAAUAACUCCCCGAAAGGGGUGCUAAUACCGGAUAAUGUCUUCGGACCAAAGAGUUAUCGCUGCUGGAUGGGCCCGCGUUGGAUUAGCUGGUUGGUAGGGUAAAAGCCUACCAAGGCGACGAUCCAUAGCUGGUCGGGGAGGAUGCUCCUCCACACUGGGACUGCGACCCGGCCCAGACUCCUACGCGAGGCAGCAGAGUGGAACAUUGGACAAUGGAGGAAGGUCUGAUCCAGCAAUGCCGCGUGAGUGGUGAAGGCCUUAGGGUUGUAAAGCUCUUUUACCCGGGAUGAUAAUGACAGUACCGGGAGAAUAAGCACCGGCUAACUCCGUG
RNAcentral lists this ribosomal RNA (433 nucleotides) under uncultured bacterium. Its description in RNAcentral is "partial 16S ribosomal RNA". It matches the Rfam family "Bacterial small subunit ribosomal RNA", at positions 29 to 507 of the family's 1533-position model. The record is from RNAcentral.